RNAcentral lists this long non-coding RNA (296 nucleotides) under Populus trichocarpa (black cottonwood). Its description in RNAcentral is "long non-coding RNA (PTRI_LNC004831)". The record is from RNAcentral. Lineage: Eukaryota; Viridiplantae; Streptophyta; Magnoliopsida; Malpighiales; Salicaceae.
CGAAAUACAGAUCCACCAAACCAUUUACGCUGAAAAUUAAUUUACUUCAAUUCCACUCUUCCAGUAUCCUUCUUCGUCCCUAAUAACAUCGAUUCCUAACUGUUCAAAAAUCACCCUCUCUUCAUCGAUUUCAUCUUCCUUUAUCCGAAACUGUUCAUCAUCUUCGCAUUCGUCUUCAGCAACCCAAUUUUUUUUCUUCAUCUUCUUCUCCUUCAUCUUAACAGUUUCAAUAUUUCUCUGCAAACCAACAAAAACAGAGACCCAUGACAACAUCGCACCAGACCCAUCAUCAUCAC